RNAcentral lists this unclassified non-coding RNA (401 nucleotides) under fungal sp. Its description in RNAcentral is "partial internal transcribed spacer region". The stretch from base 1 to 46 matches the Rfam family "Eukaryotic small subunit ribosomal RNA", at positions 1786 to 1831 of the family's 1831-position model. Lineage: Eukaryota; Fungi. The record is from RNAcentral.
AAGUCGUAACAAGGUUUCCGUAGGUGAACCUGCGGAAGGAUCAUUAACACGUUACAAACGUAUCAACCAACCUCGACGAACUUGUUUACCUGUGGCUCGUUCUCUUGUUUAGCUUUUGGUUGGCUUCGGCUAGCUGACUAGCUAUGAACGCUGGCGCGUUGGGCCGCUUCCCUUUGUGGUCGUGGAACUCUGUGUCUGGCUUAGAGAGAAGCUUGUCACCCCUCCUCCCAUCUUCGGGUGGUUGGAGUUUUUUUUACCCGUUUGUUAAGUGUUUGUAGGCCGAAAGGCAGACAAAUCUUAUCAAACUUGUAGUUCUACAUUCUUCUGCUAGUAAGAGAGCCUUCGGGUUACUCUUAUUAACAAACCAUGUACAACUCUGAGCAACGGAUGUCUUGGUUCCC